RNAcentral lists this transfer RNA (68 nucleotides) under Petrasma pervernicosa. RNAcentral's name for it is "Solemya pervernicosa tRNA-Pro". Lineage: Eukaryota; Metazoa; Mollusca; Bivalvia; Solemyida; Solemyidae. The record is from RNAcentral.
CAAGCUGUAAUUUAAAUUAAAAUAAGGGCAUUGGGAGCCUUAAAUCUUCUUUUUUAGAAGUUGCUUGA